Long non-coding RNA from Heteronotia binoei (common prickly gecko), 1328 nucleotides. RefSeq lists it as uncharacterized. The transcript is spliced from 3 exons. Lineage: Eukaryota; Metazoa; Chordata; Lepidosauria; Squamata; Gekkonidae. The record is from RefSeq and is a predicted model, not a curated record.
GAAGUGCCUUCCCUCUCUAAGCCUGCUUUAUCCAAUCGUGUGGCUUGGAGAAAGCAGGCACUUAUGAGGACUACUAAGUACCUGCCUGCCUGCCUCCUAGGCUUACCAGUCUCCAGGUCCCCGUUUUGAAGGCUCCUUGCCUCAGCCAGCCAGCUGGCUGACUGGGGAAGCCCCAGCCCCAAUUGCCAAUAUGCCUUUCCACUUUGAAAAGCUAGAAGAAACUAGGAACUGGCUUGCUUUUUAGAAGAUACCUAACAGUAAACUGUUAACAGUCUUCUACUGGUUAAAUGAGUAUAUAUCUUCCCUUUGAUACAAGUGAAUUGUGCAGUUUAUCAGCUUGACAACAUAAUGAACAGGUAGAACAACAGAAAUGGAAGUAUGAUCACAGGAUGGAAAGAAUGAGUGUGGGAAGGAAGGAGCACAGGAAAGUAGCAAAGCAAAGUGGUAAAGUCAAGCUAUAUUUGCAUGUUGAGUGUGAGAACCAGAGAGAUAACGGCAAAUGCUACAAGGAAGAAAUAAAGUAGACUGGACUUCGAGAAAUGGUAACACACUUCCCAAAAGGGCAUUCCUAUUUCUCUUGAAAUUUCAUCCAUCAAGGAAGUGAAGAAAAAAGCCAGACUUUGGAAUCCAGCAAUUCCCAGCAGUGUGGCUCAUACAGCAGCAUUGUUGAUUUUGGUAUGCUGAAAGUGAAUUCUCUGACAAGGGAUGCUUUCUCUGUUCUCUCCUUAAUACUCCAGGGCAGUCUCAAAGACAAGUGAUGACAUGGAGCAUUAGAAUAUUUUUAAAUAACCAACUUUUGUGUACACUUAUCUACACAAUCACUUAUCCUAAGACAACAACCUUUUCCCUUGUUUCGGCCUUGGAUUUACUUUUCUCUGUAUCCCACCCUGCCCUGAAAGAGAGGAGGCAUGACAAAACAAAGGAACUACUUGCUUCCUUACUUUUCUACACCUGCAUAUUGCUUUUGCAAUCAUUGAGAGUGGAAAAUGUUUCUUUAUUUUUUUUUGUAUGUUAUCCUAGUAUGGCCAUCUAACUGGCAGGUUACUCAAGUAUUAUUAGAAUAAUGGCAGCUUCCAACCUGGAAACAGUGCCUGGAGACACAGCUCCCAGGCACUAAGUUGCCUCUUCCAUCUCCUCUCUAAUAGUAAUGAUCUAACUUGCUCUCCUCUUCUUUGCUUGCUAGAGUAAGGAAAGUCAGUUGUGCCCCACAGCAGGUGUGAGGUCAGGUGAGAUGACUGCUGCGUCACAGAAAUAGUUGCACUGUUGCUGCACUCUUUGCUGCAAAGUUCUUAAUAAAACAGCAUUUUCUCCAUGUCAUGAGCUGGCAA